This is a long non-coding RNA of Arachis ipaensis, 598 nucleotides long. RefSeq lists it as uncharacterized. Lineage: Eukaryota; Viridiplantae; Streptophyta; Magnoliopsida; Fabales; Fabaceae. The record is from RefSeq and is a predicted model, not a curated record.
CUUAAUCAAUUUUCCUUUUCUCUUCGUUCAUUACUAAGUUGAGUUUGAAGAAAAUAAAAAGAAAGGGGCCGAGAAAGAAAAGAGAGAACUGUAACCCUUUCAUAAGUUUCGGCUUCGAUUUCUUAAGUUUCGUAAUUCUAAUUAAAAAUUUAGUCCAAUAAAAGUGUUCGUAUCUUCCUCCUCUAUAUAUUGGCGUUACUUUUGUCUGGUAAGAGUUGACGGUGACGUAACUCUUCUUCUCUUUGAGUUCGGCCAACUGGAGUUCUAGGAGGCACAGACGAUUUCGGACGUUUUUCCUUUCAGCAGCUCGGUCAUAAAGUUUUUCCGGAAUUUCGAGUAUUUCGAUUACGUACGAAGAUUGCAGAUAAAUGAAGAACAGCAAAGGUCCUUGUAGCAGCAGGAAAGAAAGUAUUGGGACACAAAAUGAGAUGACUGAGUAAUAAUUAUAAUAGUUAGAAAAUUGAUCAAAGUAGUUGAAUGUUUUUUCUAAUUGGUAUUAAAAGUUUCAUUGAUCAAGUGUUAUGUUCAACAGAAGCAUGCAAACUGAAAUUGGUGCAUAAUAUGUUGAAUCAAUUUGGAUCAUAAUUUUUCAGGUGCA